UGCCCUGUAUUAAUCAAAGUACGGAUUUUUUUUACUUACAAAAGAUUUUAAUUGACCAUGCAUAUGGUCAUGAACAGUCAUAGUACUAUCAAUAGCAUGUUACUGCCUUCUACAAUUGUUCUGGUUUAAACACAAAUGGCAUGGAAGAAUCAAAGUUAGAACUCUCAAAUGGAGAAACAAACGUUGUGCGGCAAGCAUGGAAUUUUGUGCGACUGGCAUACAAGAUUAAAGUUUAGCAAGCUAUAAAACCAGUUUUAGUCCAGCAUUUUCUACUUUAGAAAAUACCUGUACCAAGUCAGGAAUAUGAAAGUUGUUAUUCAUUCGUUUGAUGUGUUUGAGCUUUUGACUUUACCAUUUGAUAACGGUAUUUUCGUUUUGAAUGUUCCUGGGCGGGGUUCGGUAUUUUUGCUAUUUUAUUUUUUGCAACAAAAAUAUUGUCAGUUACUCUGUAUGCAUGCACCAUAAAGUUUAAGUAAUCAUGACUAAAAUAUAAACGAGUUGUCCCAAUUUUAUUGCGUGCCGAUCUAUCCGCUACAGAGACAAAUAAACGAUCUGCACAUUGUUAAAAUGCACAUUCUGCUUCUAGGCACCAAGACGAUCGGAAUAUAAUCCAACUUCA
This 619-nucleotide long non-coding RNA is filed under the name Mytilus galloprovincialis (Mediterranean mussel). Lineage: Eukaryota; Metazoa; Mollusca; Bivalvia; Mytilida; Mytilidae. The record is from RNAcentral.